UUAAGCGACUAAGCGUACACGGUGGAUGCCCUGGCAGUCAGAGGCGAUGAAGGACGUGCUAAUCUGCGAAAAGCGUCGGUAAGGUGAUAUGAACCGUUAUAGCCGGCGAUGUCCGAAUGGGGAAACCCAGUGCAAUUCGUUGCACUAUCGUUAACUGAAUACAUAGGUUAACGAGGCGAACCGGGGGAACUGAAACAUCUAAGUACCCCGAGGAAAAGAAAUCAACCGAGAUUCCCCCAGUAGCGGCGAGCGAACGGGGAGCAGCCCGGAGUCUGAAUCAGCUUGUGUGUUAGUGGAAGCGUCUGGAAAGUCGCAGGGUACAGGGUGAUACUCCCGUACACUAAAACGCACAGGUUGUGAACUCGAAGAGUAGGGCGGGACACGUGGUAUCCUGUCUGAAUAUGGGGGGACCAUCCUCCAAGGCUAAAUACUCCUGACUGACCGAUAGUGAACCAGUACCGUGAGGGAAAGGCGAAAAGAACCCCGGCGAGGGGAGUGAAAAAGAACCUGAAACCGUGUACGUACAAGCAGUAGGAGCCCACUAGUUGGGUGACUGCGUACCUUUUGUAUAAUGGGUCAGCGACUUAUAUUCUGUAGCAAGGUUAACCGUAUAGGGGAGCCGCAGGGAAACCGAGUCUUAACUGGGCGUUAAGUUGCAGGGUAUAGACCCGAAACCCGGUGAUCUAGCCAUGGGCAGGUUGAAGGUUGGGUAACACUAACUGGAGGACCGAACCGACUAAUGUUGAAAAAUUAGCGGAUGACUUGUGGCUGGGGGUGAAAGGCCAAUCAAACCGGGAGAUAGCUGGUUCUCCCCGAAAGCUAUUUAGGUAGCGCCUCGUGAACUCAUCUUCGGGGGUAGAGCACUGUUUCGGCUAGGGGGUCAUCCCGACUUACCAACCCGAUGCAAACUACGAAUACCGAAGAAUGUUAUCACGGGAGACACACGGCGGGUGCUAACGUCCGUCGUGAAGAGGGAAACAACCCAGACCGCCAGCUAAGGUCCCAAAGUCAUGGUUAAGUGGGAAACGAUGUGGGAAGGCCCAGACAGCCAGGAUGUUGGCUUAGAAGCAGCCAUCAUUUAAAGAAAGCGUAAUAGCUCACUGGUCGAGUCGGCCUGCGCGGAAGAUGUAACGGGGCUAAACCAUGCACCGAAGCUGCGGCAGCGACACUAUGUGUUGUUGGGUAGGGGAGCGUUCUGUAAGCCGUUGAAGGUGGCCUGUGAGGGUUGCUGGAGGUAUCAGAAGUGCGAAUGCUGACAUAAGUAACGAUAAUGCGGGUGAAAAACCCGCACGCCGGAAGACCAAGGGUUCCUGUCCAACGUUAAUCGGGGCAGGGUGAGUCGACCCCUAAGGCGAGGCCGAAAGGCGUAGUCGAUGGGAAACAGGUUAAUAUUCCUGUACUCGGUGUUACUGCGAAGGGGGGACGGAGAAGGCUAUGUUGGCCGGGCGACGGUUGUCCCGGUUUAAGCAUGUAGGCGGAUGUUCCAGGUAAAUCCGGAACGUUACUAACGCUGAGGUGUGAUGACGAGGCACUACGGUGCUGAAGUGACAAAUGCCCUGCUUCCAGGAAAAGCCUCUAAGCAUCAGGUAACAUCAAAUCGUACCCCAAACCGACACAGGUGGUCAGGUAGAGAAUACCAAGGCGCUUGAGAGAACUCGGGUGAAGGAACUAGGCAAAAUGGUGCCGUAACUUCGGGAGAAGGCACGCUGAUGGUAGGUGAAGUGACUUGCUCAUGGAGCUGAAAUCAGUCGAAGAUACCAGCUGGCUGCAACUGUUUAUUAAAAACACAGCACUGUGCAAACACGAAAGUGGACGUAUACGGUGUGACGCCUGCCCGGUGCCGGAAGGUUAAUUGAUGGGGUUAUCCGUAAGGAGAAGCUCUUGAUCGAAGCCCCGGUAAACGGCGGCCGUAACUAUAACGGUCCUAAGGUAGCGAAAUUCCUUGUCGGGUAAGUUCCGACCUGCACGAAUGGCGUAAUGAUGGCCAGGCUGUCUCCACCCGAGACUCAGUGAAAUUGAACUCGCUGUGAAGAUGCAGUGUACCCGCGGCAAGACGGAAAGACCCCGUGAACCUUUACUAUAGCUUGACACUGAACACUGGUCCUUGAUGUGUAGGAUAGGUGGGAGGCUUUGAAGUGUGGACGCCAGUCUGCAUGGAGCCAUCCUUGAAAUACCACCCUUUAAUGGCUGGUGUUCUAACGUGGGCCCGUAAUCCGGGUUGCGGACAGUGUCUGGUGGGUAGUUUGACUGGGGCGGUCUCCUCCUAAAGAGUAACGGAGGAGCACGAAGGUCAGCUAAUCCUGGUCGGACAUCAGGAGGUUAGUGCAAUGGCAUAAGCUGGCUUGACUGCGAGCGUGACGGCGCGAGCAGGUGCGAAAGCAGGUCAUAGUGAUCCGGUGGUUCUGAAUGGAAGGGCCAUCGCUCAACGGAUAAAAGGUACUCCGGGGAUAACAGGCUGAUACCGCCCAAGAGUUCAUAUCGACGGCGGGGUUUGGCACCUCGAUGUCGGCUCAUCACAUCCUGGGGCUGAAGUAGGUCCCAAGGGUAUGGCUGUUCGCCAUUUAAAGUGGUACGCGAGCUGGGUUUAGAACGUCGUGAGACAGUUCGGUCCCUAUCUGCCGUGGGCGCUGGAGAAUUGAGGGGGGCUGCUCCUAGUACGAGAGGACCGGAGUGGACGCAUCACUGGUGUUCGGGUUGUCAUGCCAAUGGCAUUGCCCGGUAGCUAAAUGCGGAAGAGAUAAGUGCUGAAAGCAUCUAAGCACGAAACUUGCCCCGAGAUGAGUUCUCCCUGACUCCUUGAGAGUCCUGAAGGAACGUUGAAGACGACGACGUUGAUAGGCCGGGUGUGUAAGCGCAGCGAUGCGUUGAGCUAACCGGUACUAAUGAACCGUGAGGCUUAACCUU
This 2904-nucleotide ribosomal RNA is filed under the name human gut metagenome. RNAcentral's name for it is "bacterial LSU rRNA". It matches the Rfam family "Bacterial large subunit ribosomal RNA". The record is from RNAcentral.